Molecule: long non-coding RNA, 1093 nt
Filed under: Bemisia tabaci
Lineage: Eukaryota; Metazoa; Arthropoda; Insecta; Hemiptera; Aleyrodidae
Description: lncRNA ENSSSA2NGG005332
Source: RNAcentral
AAAUCGUCUAUACCGAUCCUACUUUGAGCGAAUUACCAGCGGCGAGUCGCAACCUGAUUGGCUACGAAGAUUGCCGAACACAGCCGAAGGCCUAUUCGCCGCUCAACCAGCGCUGGCUACUCGCAGGUAAUCUGUUUCACUGGUUCACUCGCCACCACCUCCUGUUUGAUUACGUGUACGAGGUCAUUAGGCCAAGCCAAAGACAUAAAGACGGAGUGCUCGUAUCUAAAAGCACGGGGAAAAAGUGAAGCUAGCACUCCGUCUUUAUAUGUCUUUGGGCCAAGCGCCAAGUUAGUUUUCGUUAUUUCGUUAGUUUUCUCUGUACGAGUGUACGAGGCCAUGUGCUCACCCUAAGACCCUAACUAACCAUCAAAUUACUCGUUUUCGCUCUCUUGUCCUUUCAAUUUUCAAUACUAAUUCAUCAUGGAUAUCGACCCAGUUGCUGCACAGCGGCCACCAGCGGACAGAAGAGCCAUGUUGCUUAGCUUAUGUAAGUUAUGUUUUCUACUUUUACCAGAUAUGAAGCCGAGACAGGUUUCACGAGUCUAGACUCUUUUUGUUACCAUAUUUAAAAUGACUUUGAAAAUUAUUUGUAAAGCGUCCAGCCCACAUAGUAUUUAGAGGCUUCAACGAGGCUCAUCGGUGGAAUUGUUGACCAUUGGCUUUCAAAGAUCGUCAGUAACCAUUACGUUCGCUACCUAGGUAUGAAAGAUCAGAUCCUGAGAUUUCCCAGGAAUUUUAAGCAGAAUUGGCCGAUAAUAAAAAAUUAGUGCCAGUUUGAAGGUCCUCGUUUGUACGUGGGCUGGACGUUUAAUAGAUAUAGGUAGGUAGAUAUUUUUCUUCUCUGUAGCAGACUGCAUUCAUUAAAGCUUUUUCUGAGUGGCAGAACCACCGGUUGCCAUUUUGGUACAAAUAUUGGGAUGUUGAUCAGUAAGGAGUUAAAGAAUGAACAUUCCACCAAUGUAAACAAAUAGAUUUCUUCCUCUCUUCAAACCUUUACUUACCUCAAUUAUACUGCAAUGGUGUAAAUAUAUACUCAAUGUACUAGCAUGAACCUUUUUUCUGCCGUAACUGAAGUAUGAAGAAAAAUAAC